ACCGCCCUCGCUCCAGCUGUUACCUGGCACAUCCUCCGUGCCCUCCAACAGCAUAUCCUUCGUGAAGUUCGAAAUCUGGCCAGUGAGGGAAGCCAGGCUGCCCCCUACUUGACCGAGAGACUGGCCCAAGCCGGAGCCGAGGCCCCCGAGCCAGGACGACAUCGCUGCGGGUGGACACGUCCUCUCCAAAUGUCCCUGGACGCCGAAGCUGGUGCGGAUCCAGACGCUGAGGACUCGCAGGACACGGCACUCCCACCAACGGCCGCGUCAGAAAGCCGAGGCCCGGCCUGACGCUUCACCAAGGGUUCGCCGUUGUGGACACCGUGGGCCCCGCGAGGCCUCUGCUCAUUCCCACGGCUUCCCGCCGUGCGGCUGCACUACUUCUUUCUCAGCUUUACUGACUUUCCUCAGUUUCGUGGGCCAGUCCUGCCAACUCAACGCCGGCCGCCAUGACACUGCCGGGAAAGCGGCAGUGACCAUAGAGAAGCUUCGCGAUAGCGUAGAAGGGCCGCUGCCAGAGGCGUCCCGGGCGCGAAGGACCGUGGGAUCGCGGAGGACCAAGUAAAUGGGCCAGCCAGAUCCGUGACUUCCGCGUAACCUGCGGAACUUUAGGUGGAGACCGAAAAGGCAGUGGCGGCGGCGGUGGCUCUUCCCACCUGCGCAGCUGCUUUUGUUUGUAAGAGGAAGUAACCCUUGACAGUGCCUUCUGAUCCUGUCUACAAGAGCUAUUGCAUCGCUAGGAUUCGAUAGGGUCGUCCCACCCCACAGGGAAGCAACCUCAAUCCAUCUGCAUUACUCUAUUAUCCAGCGUCUGCGGAUAUAAGAGCAUCCGUGCCAGAGGGUUGGAAACGAGGCUACAAAGCUGAAAAAGCGGGUUGCAAUUCAAAUGUCCAGGCAGAAAACCCUUGUUUUGGUGUUUGUUUUCAGUUACCAUGCACUUAAAGGAUUGUGGGAUCCCAUGACCGCCUCUCAAAUGAUCCCUCUCUGAAUAAUUUUCACCAGAUAUCUAUUUGAAUUUAGGGGUUGCCUCCGAGGGUUUUUCAGCUUCCGUGUCCCAGAACAAGGAAUUGGACAGAGACACGUGGCUAGUAGUAAGGAAGACAAGAAAAUGAAGAAAAGACACACACCCAAGAGAAGCAGCAGGCCAGAACACUGUCAUUGGGGGUGGGGUUGACGAGCUACACUUUCAGCUUGAAUGAUGGAGAAUUUUUGGUGCUGAAGAUCAAAUCCAGAGACUUGUACAGGCAUUGAGGCUUUUCGGCUUAGCCACAUCCUCAGCCCUUGUUUGAGAUAGGCUCUCCUAUAAUCCAGGUAUAAAUCCUCUAAAGCUCCGUGUCUGCUGGAACAUGGUCCAAGAAUGAAAUCCUGUGAGAAUUCUGGGUGCUUAGGAGAAAACUCUAAGACAAGACCAGAAUCUCAUGACCUUAUAGGGGAAUUUUAAUCCAACACCAUGGGUGCUCUGACAAGGGAUCACAUCCAAAGAUCUUCUAAGCCCACAGGAACUGGGCAGAAUACAGAAAAACCCUGGAAUACAGUAUGGUCUGGCUGGAAUACAGACACACCCUUAGUACACACCUCUAAUCCCUAACAUGAAGAUAAGGCAAGUUUGUAGAAGGAAGCAGCCUUGUUUGAAAGUGAUGUCUAAUUAAGGGACAAUGUGACGAACCAGAGAAAGAUUUGACAGAAUGAGUCAGAGAUAGGAUACAUCCAACUCACAGAACAGCAGAGGAAAGAGGCUACGAGAGAGAGAGAGACAGAGACACAGAGACUGAGACAGGGAGACAGGUGUGUGUGGAGAUUUUACCAGGAUGGUUUUACAGAAACAGGUUAGACACAAGUGAUGACAGAAGGAGCCAGAGAAUGAGAAGGAGCCAGAAGAUUAGAACAUGUUGCCAAAGUGAAGUAUAAAGCCAAGCAGAGCAAUUCAGUCAGAAACCAAGAGAAGACUGAAUCAGUCAGCUUGGAAGAUUAGAUUGUACGCAGAGGCUUGAAGCUUCCUAGCCUAGGCCUAGGGAUAGAACAGGCAAACACUCUGGGCUCAGCCCAAGCCCUGUAUUCACACAGCUUGGCUACAGCUCUCAUGUCAUCCCUUCAUCUGAAGAAAUGAGUGACAUUUACAUGACCUCAGCUUCCUCAAAACCCCUGAACUGGAAUGUGCUUAUGUGUGCCUCCCAGGUGUAGUGCAUUGAGUGAAUUUACUUCAGAUUAUUCAUUGCAACUGGCUGUUGGUAUUUAUUUAAAAGCCUCUAUGGGAAAAACACAUGUUCUUGCAUGGUGCUUGCCCUUGUGAUUGACUGUACACUUUGCUCAUGUGCCUCUUAAUCUUCAUAGUAUGAUGUCUGAAGACCGGAAUAAAGUUGUCUAUUGCGU
RNAcentral lists this long non-coding RNA (2370 nucleotides) under Mus musculus (house mouse). Its description in RNAcentral is "predicted gene, 20036 (Gm20036)". The record is from RNAcentral. Lineage: Eukaryota; Metazoa; Chordata; Mammalia; Rodentia; Muridae.